UACGAAGGGGACUAGCGUUGUUCGGAAUCACUGGGCGUAAAGCGCACGUAGGCGGGUUGUUAAGUCAGAGGUGAAAUCCCGGAGCUCAACUUCGGAACUGCCUUUGAUACUGAUGAUCUUGAGUUCGGAAGAGGUGAGUGGAAUUCCUAGUGUAGAGGUGAAAUUCGUAGAUAUUAGGAAGAACACCGGUGGCGAAGGCGGCUCACUGGUCCGAUACUGACGCUGAGGUGCGAAAGCGUGGGGAGCAAACAGG
RNAcentral lists this ribosomal RNA (253 nucleotides) under uncultured bacterium. Its description in RNAcentral is "partial 16S ribosomal RNA". It matches the Rfam family "Bacterial small subunit ribosomal RNA", at positions 524 to 776 of the family's 1533-position model. The record is from RNAcentral.